RNAcentral lists this ribosomal RNA (387 nucleotides) under uncultured bacterium. Its description in RNAcentral is "bacterial SSU rRNA". It matches the Rfam family "Bacterial small subunit ribosomal RNA", at positions 30 to 416 of the family's 1533-position model. The record is from RNAcentral.
AUUGAAUGCUGGCGGCAUGCCUUACACAUGCAAGUCGAACGGCAGCACGGGAGCAAUCCUGGUGGCGAGUGGCGAACGGGUGAGUAAUAUAUCGGAACGUGCCCAGUCGUGGGGGAUAACGUAGCGAAAGCUACGCUAAUACCGCAUACGAUCUAUGGAUGAAAGCGGGGGAUCGCAAGACCUCGCGCGAUUGGAGCGGCCGAUAUCAGAUUAGGUAGUUGGUGAGGUAAAGGCUCACCAAGCCGACGAUCUGUAGCUGGUCUGAGAGGACGACCAGCCACACUGGGACUGAGACCCGGCCCAGACUCCUACGGGAGGCAGCAGUGGGGAAUUUUUGGACAAGUGGCGCAAGCCUGAUCCAGCAAUGCCGCGUGCAGGAUGAAGGCC